CCUACGGGAGGCAGCAGUGAGGAAUAUUGGUCAAUGGCCGCAGGGCUGAACCAGCCAAGUCGCGUGAGGGAUGACGGUCCUAUGGAUUGUAAACCUCUUUUGUCAGGGAGCAAAGGGCGCCACGCGUGGCGCUUUGAGAGUACCCGAAGAAAAAGCAUCGGCUAACUCCGUGCCAGCAGCCGCGGUAAUACGGAGGAUGCGAGCGUUAUCCGGAUUUAUUGGGUUUAAAGGGUGCGCAGGCGGAAUGUCAAGUCAGCGGUAAAAGUUCGGGGCUCAACCCCGUCGUGCCUUUGAAACUGGCGUUCUUGAGUGAGCGAGAAGUAUGCGGAAUGCGUGGUGUAGCGGUGAAAUGCAUAGAUAUCACGCAGAACUCCGAUUGCGAAGGCAGCAUACCGGCGCUCAACUGACGCUCAUGCACGAAAGCGUGGGUAUCGAACAGGAUUAGAUACCCCGGUAGUC
RNAcentral lists this ribosomal RNA (459 nucleotides) under uncultured bacterium. RNAcentral's name for it is "partial 16S ribosomal RNA". It matches the Rfam family "Bacterial small subunit ribosomal RNA", at positions 338 to 795 of the family's 1533-position model. The record is from RNAcentral.